GGAUGGUGAUGAAAUUUUAGGAUGUUGUCCUAGAGAUAUAUUGUGGACCUCUGGAAGUUAUGGAUUUAAAAUCUGAGUGGCAGAUCUUCCGGAUCGAUCUACGUAGUGACGUAUUUUAUAUAAGUUAUAUAUUCUAUCGAUAUGAAUUCUGAGGUUGGAUUUGAUUACUGUUCUAGGCGGCAAUCGUCAUGACGCCUUGGCGUAUUGUGCUAGGGAGUUGUAGGACGAACUCCAGGUGAGUGGGCAGUUUUGUUUUCCGUAUAUAUAUAUACUUGACGUUUUCCCAGAAAUUGAAUUAGAAUGAAAUUAUGUUUUAAAUGAAAGGUAUAUAGAAUUAUAUGAAAACGUGAAUUGAAAGGUCAUGCAUAGAAGUAUAUGAAAUAUAUAUGGAAAUGUAAAUUGAAUUGCCAUGCAUGAAAUGAUAUGAAUCAAAUGAUAUGAAUUGUUAUAUGAUGCAUAUGAAUGAAUGGUGCGGCGGACGCACAUGUGAGUAUCAGGUGAGUAUUUAAAUACUGUUAUGAUGAUGUUGAUAUAUAUUGAGCUCAAAUCCUGCACCAUGGUUUAGUGCUUAUAGUAUUCACCGCAUCGCACGCUCGCCUUGGAUCCAAGUAGAUGCUGGUCGCAUAGUCCACGCGGAGUGGGUGCGACGGGCCAGUCGAAGAGUGUUAGUGAGAUUUCGACUGGUGGGUGACCUUAGAUUAUGUGCACAGAUGAUUAAUGAGAAAGCACUAGAGCAUAACUUGUGUGCAGAAGGCCGUACAGGUCACAGAGGUGACUCCGGCAGAGUGAGAGUGAUAGAUUUUGAGCUCUAGGUUCAACCGUUCAGGGCUAUUAGAGGGCCUCCGGUUGAUUACUUCUUGCACCUGAUAUAAUUAUUGUUGAUGCAUUCAUAUUAUACUGUUGAAUUUAGACAUGGCAUGGCAUAAUUGUAAUGAAAAAUGUUGAGAUAGUGAUUUGAAGUUUUGAGAUUAUAUAUGUAUAUUUAUAUUUUACAUUUCUGGGAAAGUAUACAAGUUUUACGGAGAGGGGUUACAACGUUUGCGAAAUGUUUGGAUUUGGAAAAGAAUUGUUUUACUGACCCACUCAAUUUUGGUUUUGCGCCCCUCCAGGUUCAGGAAUCACAAAGGUGUGGUGACUACGAGGAAUUCGACGGUGUUCUGACAGAUUGGACAAAAUUAGGACUCACCUUCGGGUGUAUCAACUUAUAAAUUGUAUCUUAAAGCUUCCGUACUGUGCAAAUGGUUACGUCACUCUCACGUGAUGGCCAGCAUGCCCUCCUUCG
RNAcentral lists this long non-coding RNA (1282 nucleotides) under Malus domestica (apple). RNAcentral describes it as "long non-coding RNA (MDOM_LNC005246)". The record is from RNAcentral. Lineage: Eukaryota; Viridiplantae; Streptophyta; Magnoliopsida; Rosales; Rosaceae.